CAUUCAGAGAGCUGUUGGCAAUUUGGGGGCCAGAUUUUGCUCUUAUUUCCCUUUCUACAAAGCAGGAAUGUGUAAAGAGGAAUUGGCAGCGCACCCAGGACAGAUUUGAGCUUGUUUAAACUGAGUUUCUAGAAUUGCUUUGCUCUUCUUCAGGCUGUGUGAGCUUCCAAGCCGGUGCUUCACUGGGGGAGCGAUGGCUCCUCUGGGCCCUGCUCUGAGCACAUCCCCAGCCCAGCUCCCGGUGACUUCCAGGGUGAAAUCCUCGCUCCUCUCGCCGAGUCCAGCCCUGCGUUCCUGCCAGUGAUCCGGUGUUUAAUGCUCCCCUCGCUGCUGCCGGCUGGGAUGGAUUCCAGGUAUUUAACAAAUUGAAGCCGUUCUCCAUACUGUGAUACCUUCUGAAGCAUCCCAUAUGCAACUCUCAGUAAGGCUUGGCUGUGUUUAACAUAAUUCACAUUUUCAAGACACAAGGUUCUGGGGAACUGCCCAUCUUGCACAAAAAAGGACAAGGAGAAAUGUCAUUGCAAUGGGAAUAAAUGGGAAAUGGUGGCAUGAAAAGGGGCCUGCCAUGAACUGCUCGUGAUGUCACCUGAGACUUUUCAAAGGAGUGGCUUGAAAAUAACGACUUUCACCAGAAAAUGUGUAUCAAAAUGCAACCUGAAAAGUGUAUCAAAGAAGAAAAUGUAAUUGCUGGGAGUGAGCUGAGCAGAGAGACCUCCUACAAGAGAGAAAUGUGGGCUGGAACAUGCAGGAGAAGCCAGGAGUUAGUCUCAGGGAAGUUUUAAUCCUUUUGUGGAUGCAUUUUCUCCCUGGCUGCCUGCAAAGCCGAGGCUGGUGCCCUGGCACGGUGUCAGAAUGGAAGAGCUGCGAGCAGAACUGAGCAUUCCCAAUGUGCAGAGUUACUCCUGGUUUACUCCUUUAGUAGGGACCCUCUGCCACCUGCCCUUCACCACUGCUUGUGCCACGUGGCCCUGGGCAGUCACUUCACCUGUCCUGCCUUAAAUCCACCCCUCCUGAGGGAGGGAGUGACAGGGCUGGGCACCUCCAGGUGGGAAUUGUUCCAAAGUGCCAGAUAGGAUUAAAGGAAAGAACAACCUGUGGUGGUUUGGAGGUAAAGCUUCUCCCUGGGUGUGCAUCCAUGUGCCAGUUCUCAGUCUAAAGCAAACAUUUCAGGUGGUGGGGAAGGUCCCCCUUUCAUGUUCCCUGCCUGAAGCCCCCAGGCUGGGAACAGUUCCUCUGGAAAGAUCUGCAGGGUCUGGAUGCCCACAGAGCAUUAGGGCUGGAAAAGCCCUCCAGGAUCAUCCAUUGGCUGUACAGAGAAAAGGAACUGGGGAUCUCCAGGGGGUUUUAUUUUCCUCUAGUUUUUGCCCCUUUAUUGUGUUCUGACCUUGCAAAGCAGGGAUUGUCCUGCAGCAAAAGUCACCUUUUUAUCAGAGCCUCAUGUGAAGCAUUUCCCUCACUGCAGACCCAGGGCUCGCGUUCGAGGGCUGGGGGCGCUCCCAAAGCGAGUCCUAAACCAAGAAUUAGUGCAAGAAAUGGAUCAUUCUUUGGUUUAAUGCUAAUAGAGGUUCUGGCUCCUCUGGGUUGUCAUAAAGUGCAGUGACUGAGUUACACCCUUUCCUAUAGUUUGAUUAAUUCUGGAUCAAUUGCUGCUGGGUUUGUAUCUGUAGCAGCUUUCACUGGAGGCAGGAGGUUGGGGAAAUACUAUUGUUCAAACAGUUUAGGAUUAAAAUGGGAUGAAUAACUUUUAUGGGAGAAGAAUAAUACAUUUAAUUUUGAAUUUGUUAUUCCUUGGGCUUCCUGCAGCCUGCUCUGCUUUCCUCCUGGGUUUUGUGGGAGAGGGAGACAAGAACUGCAAUAUCUGUUAUGAUUAAUGGCCUGGAGGAACCUAAUGGUUAUGGAAUUACUGCAUGUUUGAAGGGUCUGACAUGGCAGAUAAUUUCUCCCUGCUCCCCUUGUCCUGGCAACACAAGAUUUAGACUUGCUGAUGCUCCCGAGGAGCUGUCCCAGCCCCAGCUGCAGAGCUGAGGCCCAGAGAUGGUGGGGAUAAGGUAAAUAACCUCUCUGGCCAUGGGCAGCUUAUCUAAAUGAAAACCCAGCUCAACCCCCUCGGAAUCUCUGCCAUCACUCCUGCAAAAGCCCAUAUUUAAAAUAGAAAAUGAAAUGUUGGAGUUUUCAAAUUCAAGUGGGUGCAAGUAUUUCAGUUCCAAAAAAAUAAAAAUUAGAUGGCAGAUUGUGAAAAAAAUAAAUGCUGCAGUGUCCAAAAAUGACAGAGUGCAAAAUCCCACAUUUUAUUCAGAGCAAACAAAACCAAUCAAGGCCUUUCACAGGACAUGAAUGGAAGGGACCCACCAGGAGCUCUGAGUCCAACUCAGCCUGCACAGAACCAGCUCUGGAGUUCCACCAGCACCUUUGUGGUAGGAAAUGUCAGAAAUACCAUUAAAGAUGUUCAUUCCCAGCUCCCUGUUUUCCCUGGGAUGCUCCCCAAUUUCCUUUUCCCCACAGCAGCAGCAGGGUGAACCAGGUAUCCCCAGCUCCCACGAGGGAAAUAAUUGAAGAAUGGAUUUUUAACCUGAAUCAAACUUCUGUUAUUUCCAGACUUGUCUGGGGCAUAAAUUGGAAAUCAAACACCCAACAAGUUCCUUCCAUCCCUGCUGAAAGGCUCCAGGCUUCAUUUAGUCAAGGCUCAGAAUUAAUUUUCCUAUUAAAUGAAUGCUUUCUUAAAACGAAGGGGGAAAGUGUUUUCACUGAUAAGAUUGUUCUGUGAACCAUUCCUAAUGAGCUGCUGUGUCAUUCCCUUCUGCCUCCUAUUUAUCUUGUUUAGAUCUCUUCAAUUUGAAGUAUUCCAGUCCUUUGCUGCCUGCUAAGAGUUUGUUUUG
Corvus hawaiiensis (hawaiian crow) is the source of this 2876-nucleotide long non-coding RNA. RefSeq lists it as uncharacterized. NCBI's taxonomy places the organism in Eukaryota, Metazoa, Chordata, Aves, Passeriformes, Corvidae. The record is from RefSeq and is a predicted model, not a curated record. The transcript is spliced from 3 exons.